RNAcentral lists this ribosomal RNA (292 nucleotides) under uncultured bacterium. Its description in RNAcentral is "partial 16S ribosomal RNA". It matches the Rfam family "Bacterial small subunit ribosomal RNA", at positions 505 to 796 of the family's 1533-position model. The record is from RNAcentral.
GUGUCAGCCGCCGCGGUAAUACGUAGGGUGCAAGCGUUAAUCGGAAUUACUGGGCGUAAAGCGUGCGCAGGCGGUUGUGCAAGACAGAUGUGAAAUCCCCGGGCUCAACCUGGGAAUUGCAUUUGUGACUGCACGGCUAGAGUGUGUCAGAGGGGGGUAGAAUUCCACGUGUAGCAGUGAAAUGCGUAGAGAUGUGGAGGAAUACCGAUGGCGAAGGCAGCCCCCUGGGAUAACACUGACGCUCAUGCACGAAAGCGUGGGGAGCAAACAGGAUUAGAUACCCUAGUAGUCC